AAGUUAGAAAGGGCGCACGGUGGAUGCCUUGACUCUAGGAGUCGAUGAAGGACGGGACUAACGCCGAUAUGCUUCGGGGAGCUGUAAGUAAGCUUUGAUCCGAAGAUUUCCGAAUGGGGAAACCCACCAUACGUAAUGGUAUGGUAUCCUUAUCUGAAUACAUAGGGUAAGGAAGACAGACCCAGGGAACUGAAACAUCUAAGUACCUGGAGGAAGAGAAAGCAAAUGCGAUUUCCUGAGUAGCGGCGAGCGAAACGGAACAUAGCCCAAACCAAGAGGCUUGCCUCUUGGGGUUGUAGGACAUUCUAUACGGAGUUACAAAGGAACGAGGUAGACGAAGCGACCUGGAAAGGUCCGUCGUAGAGGGUAACAACCCCGUAGUCGAAACUUCGUUCUCUCUUGAAUGUAUCCUGAGUGACGGCGGAACACGUGAAAUUCCGUCGGAAUCUGGGAG
RNAcentral lists this ribosomal RNA (454 nucleotides) under Bacillus cereus. RNAcentral describes it as "bacterial LSU rRNA". It matches the Rfam family "Bacterial large subunit ribosomal RNA", at positions 1 to 450 of the family's 2925-position model. The record is from RNAcentral. Lineage: Bacteria; Bacillati; Bacillota; Bacilli; Caryophanales; Bacillaceae.